Molecule: ribosomal RNA, 345 nt
Filed under: Triticum aestivum (bread wheat)
Lineage: Eukaryota; Viridiplantae; Streptophyta; Magnoliopsida; Poales; Poaceae
Description: partial small subunit ribosomal RNA
Source: RNAcentral
AUGUAUAUCAGUUUGUUGCACAAAUUAUGCAGCAACGCCAAAGCUGUAAUUGAUGGUAUUUUAUCUUGCAUAUACGAGUUACAGGCAUUAGUCUUAUUCUUUUCUACGAAGACUACCGUAUAUGGUUUGAAUCAUUGUUAUAUAUUUUCUUCUGAUGCAAGCCUGUAUCUACAGUUCCAUUCUCAUUUCCUUCUUUCUUUUUUAUUCUGCAGGGCACAUGUCUCCAUAGUACACUUACAAUUAACUUCUUGGGUAUAUCAUUGUUGUUGCCUCCUAAUUUGUGUGAUGCAAAAAGUUGUGCAUUUUGUGUGUGGAUCUGAGAUGCCUAGGAAGGUUGGGAAGUGA